RNAcentral lists this ribosomal RNA (366 nucleotides) under Pseudomonas aeruginosa. RNAcentral describes it as "bacterial SSU rRNA". It matches the Rfam family "Bacterial small subunit ribosomal RNA", at positions 1115 to 1476 of the family's 1533-position model. The record is from RNAcentral. Lineage: Bacteria; Pseudomonadati; Pseudomonadota; Gammaproteobacteria; Pseudomonadales; Pseudomonadaceae.
UUACCAGCACCUCGGGUGGGCACUCUAAGGAGACUGCCGGUGACAAACCGGAGGAAGGUGGGGAUGACGUCAAGUCAUCAUGGCCCUUACGGCCAGGGCUACACACGUGCUACAAUGGUCGGUACAAAGGGUUGCCAAGCCGCGAGGUGGAGCUAAUCCCAUAAAACCGAUCGUAGUCCGGAUCGCAGUCUGCAACUCGACUGCGUGAAGUCGGAAUCGCUAGUAAUCGUGAAUCAGAAUGUCACGGUGAAUACGUUCCCGGGCCUUGUACACACCGCCCGUCACACCAUGGGAGUGGGUUGCUCCAGAAGUAGCUAGUCUAACCGCAAGGGGGACGGUUACCCCCGGAAGAUUAAACUUUUCCCU